This 460-nucleotide ribosomal RNA is filed under the name uncultured bacterium. RNAcentral's name for it is "partial 16S ribosomal RNA". It matches the Rfam family "Bacterial small subunit ribosomal RNA", at positions 338 to 795 of the family's 1533-position model. The record is from RNAcentral.
CCUACGGGGGGCAGCAGUGAGGAAUAUUGGUCAAUGGACGAGAGUCUGAACCAGCCAAGUAGCGUGAAGGAUGACUGCCCUAUGGGUUGUAAACUUCUUUUAUAUGGGAAUAAAAUGUUCCACGUGUGGGAUUUUGUAUGUACCAUAUGAAUAAGGAUCGGCUAACUCCGUGCCAGCAGCCGAGGUAAUACGGAGGAUCCGAGCGUUAUCCGGAUUUAUUGGGUUUAAAGGGAGCGUAGGUGGAUUGUUAAGUCAGUUGUGAAAGUUUGCGGCUCAACCGUAAAAUUGCAGUUGAAACUGGCAGUCUUGAGUACAGUAGAGGUGGGCGGAAUUCGUGGUGUAGCGGUGAAAUGCUUAGAUAUCACGAAGAACUCCGAUUGCGAAGGCAGUUCACUGGACUGCAACUGACACUGAGGCUCGAAAGUGUGGGUAUCAAACAGGAUUAGAUACCCGAGUAGUC